CGAACGAAGUAGCAAUACUUAGUGGCAGACGGGUGAGUAACAUGUGGGUAUCUACCCUUUGGCCUGGAAUAACACGAGGAAACUUGUGCUAAUACCGGAUAAGUCUUUACGGAGAAAGCUUUAUGCACCAUUGGAUGAGCCCGCACUUGAUUAGUUUGUUGGUAGGGUAAUGGCCUACCAAGACUAUGAUCAAUAGCUGAUUUGAGAGGAUGAUCAGCCACAUUGGGACUGAGACACGGCCCAAACUCCUACGGGAGGCAGCAGUGGGGAAUCUUGCACAAUGGAGGAAACUCUGAUGCAGCGAUGCCGCGUGAGUGAAGAAGGCCUUUGGGUUGUAAAGCUCUUUCGUCGGGGAAGAAAAUGACUGUACCCGAAUAAGAAGGUCCGGCUAACUUCGUGCCAGCAGCCGCGGUAAUACGAAGGGACCUAGCGUAGUUCGGAAUUACUGGGCUUAAAGAGUUCGUAGGUGGUUGAAAAAGUUAGUGGUGAAAUCCCAGAGCUUAACUCUGGAACUGCCAUUAAAACUUUUCAGCUAGAGUAUGAUAGAGGAAAGCAGAAUUUCUAGUGUAGAGGUGAAAUUCGUAGAUAUUAGAAAGAAUACCAAUUGCGAA
RNAcentral lists this ribosomal RNA (611 nucleotides) under uncultured bacterium. RNAcentral's name for it is "bacterial SSU rRNA". It matches the Rfam family "Bacterial small subunit ribosomal RNA", at positions 63 to 719 of the family's 1533-position model. The record is from RNAcentral.